This 264-nucleotide ribosomal RNA is filed under the name uncultured archaeon. Its description in RNAcentral is "partial 16S ribosomal RNA". It matches the Rfam family "Archaeal small subunit ribosomal RNA", at positions 719 to 982 of the family's 1478-position model. The record is from RNAcentral.
ACACGUCUACAUUAGAUACCCGCGUAGUCCCAGCCGUAAACUAUGCGCGUUAGGUGUAUCGGUGACCACGAGUUACCGAGGUGCCGAAGGGAAACCGUGAAACGUGCCGCCUGGGAAGUACGGUCGCAAGGCUGAAACUUAAAGGAAUUGGCGGGGAGCACCACAACAGGUGGAGCCUGCGGUUUAAUUGGACUCAACGCCGGGAAGCUCACCGGAUAAGACAGCGGAAUGAUUGCCGGGCUGAAGACUCUGCAUGACUAGCUG